RNAcentral lists this ribosomal RNA (274 nucleotides) under uncultured bacterium. RNAcentral's name for it is "partial 16S ribosomal RNA". It matches the Rfam family "Bacterial small subunit ribosomal RNA", at positions 523 to 796 of the family's 1533-position model. The record is from RNAcentral.
AUACCGAGGGUGCGAGCGUUAAUCGGAAUUACUGGGCGUAAAGCGCGCGUAGGCGGCUUGGUCAGUCGGAUGUGAAAGCCCCGGGCUCAACCUGGGAAUGGCAUUCGAUACUGCCAGGCUAGAGUAUGGGAGAGGGAAGUGGAAUUUCCGGUGUAGCGGUGAAAUGCGUAGAUAUCGGAAGGAACACCAGUGGCGAAGGCGACUUCCUGGCCCAAUACUGACGCUGUGGUGCGAAAGCGUGGGGAGCGAACAGGAUUAGAGACCCCAGUAGUCC